RNAcentral lists this ribosomal RNA (809 nucleotides) under uncultured Planctomycetota bacterium. RNAcentral describes it as "bacterial SSU rRNA". It matches the Rfam family "Bacterial small subunit ribosomal RNA", at positions 46 to 832 of the family's 1533-position model. The record is from RNAcentral. Lineage: Bacteria; Pseudomonadati; Planctomycetota.
GGAUUAGGCAUGCAAGUCGAACGAGAAAGGUUCCUUCGGGGACCGAGUAAAGUGGCGAACGGGUGAGUAAUGCAUGGAUAACCUGCCUCCGAGAGGGGGAUAACUUCUCGAAAGGGGAGCUAAUACCCCAUAAAGUGGUUGCUUUCAGGAGUAAUCACCAAAGAUAGCCUCUGAUGCAAGCUUUCGCUCGGAGAGGGGUUCAUGUCCUAUUAGUUAGUUGGUGAGGUAAAGGCUCACCAAGGCGAUGAUGGGUAGCCGACCUGAGAGGGUGACCGGCCACACUGGGACUGAGACACCGCCCAGACUCCUACGGGAGGCUGCAGUCGAGAAUCUUCCGCAAUGUGCGCAAGCGUGACGGAGCGACGCCGCGUGGGUGAUGAAGGCUUUCGGGUUGUAAAGCCCUGUCACCUGCUAUGAAAGGCGGGCGGUGAAUAGCUGUCCCGUCUGACCUCAGCAGGGGAGGAAGCACCGGCUAAAUACGUGCCAGCAGCCGCGGUAAUACGUAUGGUGCAAACGUUGUUCGGAAUCACUGGGCAUAAAGAGCUCGUAGGCGGUCAGGUAAGUCUGCAUGUGAAAUCCCUCGGCUCAACCGAGGAAUUGCAUCGGAAACUGCCCGACUGGAGUGCAGGAGGGGAAAGUGGAAUUCCUGGUGGAGCGGUGAAAUGCGUAGAUAUCAGGAGGAACGCCGGUGGCGAAAGCGACUUUCUGGCCUGUAACUGACGCUGAGGAGCGAAAGCCAGGGGAGCGAACGGGAUUAGAUACCCCGGUAGUCCUGGCCCUAAACGAUGGGCACUAAGUAGAGGGGUUUU